AGAGUUUGAUCCUGGCUCAGGACGAACGCUGGCGGCGUGCUUAACACAUGCAAGUCGAACGAUGAACCAGGAGCUUGCUCUUGGGGAUUAGUGGCGAACGGGUGAGUAACACGUGAGUAACCUGCCCUUGACUCUGGGAUAAGCGUUGGAAACGACGUCUAAUACCGGAUACGAGCUUCCACCGCAUGGUGAGUUGCUGGAAAGAAUUUUGGUCAAGGAUGGACUCGCGGCCUAUCAGCUUGUUGGUGAGGUAACGGCUCACCAAGGCGACGACGGGUAGCCGGCCUGAGAGGGUGACCGGCCACACUGGGACUGAGACACGGCCCAGACUCCUACGGGAGGCAGCAGUGGGGAAUAUUGCACAAUGGGCGAAAGCCUGAUGCAGCAACGCCGCGUGAGGGACGACGGCCUUCGGGUUGUAAACCUCUUUUAGCAGGGAAGAAGCGAAAGUGACGGUACCUGCAG
RNAcentral lists this ribosomal RNA (465 nucleotides) under Plantibacter sp. KB12. Its description in RNAcentral is "bacterial SSU rRNA". It matches the Rfam family "Bacterial small subunit ribosomal RNA", at positions 8 to 484 of the family's 1533-position model. Lineage: Bacteria; Bacillati; Actinomycetota; Actinomycetes; Micrococcales; Microbacteriaceae. The record is from RNAcentral.